Molecule: non-coding RNA, 35 nt
Submitted as: unclassified sequences
Source: Rfam
GAUUAUCGAAGGAUUUAGCCUUAAUUCAUAAUCCC